RNAcentral lists this ribosomal RNA (379 nucleotides) under uncultured bacterium. Its description in RNAcentral is "bacterial SSU rRNA". It matches the Rfam family "Bacterial small subunit ribosomal RNA", at positions 790 to 1167 of the family's 1533-position model. The record is from RNAcentral.
GUAGUCCACGCCGUAAACGAUGAGUACUAGGUUUAGCGGGUCUUGACCCCUGCUGAGCCGGAGCUAACGCAAUAAGUACUCCGCCUGGGAAGUACGGUCGCAAGACUAAAACUCAAAGGAAUUGACGGGGGCCCGCACAAGCGGUGGAUCAUGUGGUUUAAUUCGAAGCAACGCGAAAAACCUUACCUAGGCUUGACAUCCUCUGACCGCUGCAGAAAUGCAGUUUUCGUAGCAAUACGACAGAGAGACAGGUGCUGCAUGGCUGUCGUCAGCUCGUGUGGUGACAUGUUGGGUUAAGUCCCUUAACGAGCGCAACCCCUGCUGUUAGUUGCCACCAUUAAGUUGGGCACUCUAAUAGGACUGCCGUGGUUAACACGGA